GUCUACAGCCAUACUACUCUGAACGCGCCCGGUCUUGCCUGAUCUGGGAAGCUAAGCAGGGUUGGGCCUGGUUAGUACUUGAAUGGGAGACUGCAUGGAAAUACCGGGUGCUGUAGGUG
This is a ribosomal RNA of Cercocebus atys (sooty mangabey), 119 nucleotides long. The record is from Ensembl. Lineage: Eukaryota; Metazoa; Chordata; Mammalia; Primates; Cercopithecidae.